CCUACGGGGGGCAGCAGUGGGGAAUAUUGGACAAUGGGGGGAACCCUGAUCCAGCCAUGCCGCGUGUGUGAAGAAGGCCCUCGGGUUGUAAAGCACUUUCAGUGAGGAAGAACGCCUGGUGGUUAAUACCCAUCAGGAAAGACAUCACUCACAGAAGAAGCACCGGCUAACUCCGUGCCAGCAGCCGCGGUAAUACGGAGGGUGAGAGCGUUAAUCGGAAUUACUGGGCGUAAAGCGCGCGUAGGUGGCUUGAUAAGCCGGUUGUGAAAGCCCCGGGCUCAACCUGGGAACGGCAUCCGGAACUGUCAAGCUAGAGUGCAGGAGAGGAAGGUAGAAUUCCCGGUGUAGCGGUGAAAUGCGUAGAGAUCGGGAGGAAUACCAGUGGCGAAGGCGGCCUUCUGGACUGACACUGACACUGAGGUGCGAAAGCGUGGGUAGCAAACAGGAUUAGAUACCCCAGUAGUC
RNAcentral lists this ribosomal RNA (465 nucleotides) under Vreelandella stevensii. RNAcentral's name for it is "partial 16S ribosomal RNA". It matches the Rfam family "Bacterial small subunit ribosomal RNA", at positions 338 to 795 of the family's 1533-position model. The record is from RNAcentral. Lineage: Bacteria; Pseudomonadati; Pseudomonadota; Gammaproteobacteria; Oceanospirillales; Halomonadaceae.